GGCUUGUGGCUCAGAGGUAGAGCGCUCGCCUAGCAUGCGUGAGACACUGGGUUACGGGGUUGGAUCCUCAGCACCA
This 76-nucleotide transfer RNA is filed under the name Marmota monax (woodchuck). RNAcentral describes it as "tRNA.Ala". The record is from RNAcentral. Lineage: Eukaryota; Metazoa; Chordata; Mammalia; Rodentia; Sciuridae.